RNAcentral lists this ribosomal RNA (543 nucleotides) under uncultured bacterium. Its description in RNAcentral is "bacterial SSU rRNA". It matches the Rfam family "Bacterial small subunit ribosomal RNA", at positions 777 to 1320 of the family's 1533-position model. The record is from RNAcentral.
AAUAGAUACCCCGGUAGUCCACGCCGUAAACGUUGGAUACUAGGUGUGGCGGUCUUACCAACGACUGCCGUGCCGAAGCUAACGCAUUAAGUAUCCCGCCUGGGGAGUACGGCCGCAAGGCUAAAACUCAAAGGAAUUGACGGGUCCCCGCACAAGCGGCGGAGCAUGCGGCUUAAUUCGAUGCAACCCGAAGAACCUUACCUGGGUUUGACAUCACGGGAAAAGCUGUAGAAAUACAGUGUCCGUAAGGGCCCGUGACAGGUGGUGCAUGGCUGUCGUCAGCUCGUGUCGUGAGAUGUUGGGUUAAGUCCCGCAACGAGCGCAACCCUUGUCCUAUGUUGCCAGCGGUUCGGCCGGGGACUCAUAGGAGACUGCCGGGGAUAACUCGGAGGAAGGUGAGGACGACGUCAAGUCAUCAUGCCCCUUAUAUCCAGGGCUGCACGCAUGCUACAAUGGCCGGUACAACGGGCAGCGACCCCGCGAGGGUGAGCGAAUCCUAAAAAGCCGGUCCUAGUUCGGAUUGAAGUCUGCAACUCGACUUCA